CAGAGACCACAAUGAAGGCUCUCACCCACAUUCUUCUCAUUCCCUCUGCCUCCUGACUGAUCCUGGUGCUUCCCCGCGUAGCCCUGCAAGGUGUAUGAUGUGCUGUGCCCCUCCUCUUGGAAUCUUGUCCCUGAGGAUGACAAAGAAAACAAUUUAAAGCCCCCAGAAGCCCUCCAGGGACAGCACGUGGACAGAACAAACCUCGGUCUGCCCCAUGUCAGAGGGCUCCAUGGGGCGUGGACAUCGCCAGCCAGUGGAACCCCAACUGCCCUCUGUCCCUCUGGGAGGUCCACGUGUGACCACAAAUCCCAUAACAGAC
Molecule: long non-coding RNA, 319 nt
Organism: Cervus elaphus (red deer)
Lineage: Eukaryota; Metazoa; Chordata; Mammalia; Artiodactyla; Cervidae
Exons: 3
Source: RefSeq, a predicted model, not a curated record